RNAcentral lists this ribosomal RNA (533 nucleotides) under uncultured bacterium. RNAcentral's name for it is "bacterial LSU rRNA". It matches the Rfam family "Bacterial large subunit ribosomal RNA", at positions 482 to 1019 of the family's 2925-position model. The record is from RNAcentral.
GACCGAUAGUGAACAAGUACCGUGAGGGAAAGGUGAAAAGAACCCCGGUAAGGGGAGUGAAAUAGAACCUGAAACCGUGCGCCUGCAAGCAGUUGAAGCUCGCAAGAGUGACAGCGUGCCUUUUGCAUAAUGAGUCGGCGACUUACGUUCAGCAGCGAGGUUAAGCCGUUAGGCGAAGCCGAAGCGAAAGCGAGUCUGAAUAGGGCAUAGAGUUGUUGGACGUAGACCCGAAGCCAGGUGAUCUAUCCAUGACCAGGUUGAAGCGGGGGUAAAACCUCGUGGAGGACCGAACUCACUAAUGUUGAAAAAUUAGGGGAUGAGUUGUGGAUGGGAGCGAAAGACUAAUCAAACCUGGAGAUAGCUGGUUCUCCCCGAAAUAUAUUGAGGUAUAGCCUCGCGAGGUUCGCACCGGAGGUAGAGCACUGGAUGGGCUAGGGGGUCCCACAGGAUUACCAAACCCAACCAAACUCCGAAUGCUGGUGACGAUAUCGCGGGAGUCAGACUGUGGGAGAUAAGUUCCAUGGUCGAGAGGG